CUGUGGGACUAACAUGGCUAUGAUCUGUCGGACAGACUUCAGGCUGGCACCCAGGCAAAAUUCUAUGCUGUAGUAAAUGCAUCAUGCACAUUUGUAACAACACGUACAUAACAAUGUCACAAAAUACUUUCACGGUGACAACUAGAUUAGUGUUUUAUUGAAUAGCUGAUGACAUAAACUGUCUCAUUUGGUGCCAAGACUGACCAUCACCAGCAUACCAAGGUCAUCACUGAUCAGAGGUCUAACCCAAGGAGGGGGUCAUGUGCAGGCCCAGCGGUGGGGAGGAAAGAUGCUGCAGAGGAGAUGGAUGCCCACAGAGGCCCCUGAGCGGAUACCAUGCUCACUAAGUGGUAAGUAUAGACUCAACGUAGGCUGUAAGCUCUCCCCCUGUGUAAAUGGGACCCCGUACACUUGAGAGUCAAGGGUCUGUUUGGGUGGCAGGGAUAGCCACUUCUGAAGGUAGAAAGGAAAAUAAGCCACCAAAUUGGUACCUUUCUGUGAAAUGGACAUCGUGCUCAGAAUCUCCAUUUUCCCCACAACCUGGAGGAGUAAGUACUGUCAUCUGCAUUUUGUAGCUGAGGAAUCUGACUCAACAAAAUUAAAUUACUCGCCUAAGCAAUUAGCAAUCAACCAAGUCUUUCUGACUCAGAAACCCAGCUAUUGCCUGUUCAUAUCCAGCCCCUGUAUUGGGGUCAAGAUCUGGCCUGUUCUCAAUGCAGCAAGAUCCAGGCAGAUCACACUGGACUCCCAGCACUGAAUCUGGCUCGAGGGGACAUCAAAUUUGACUGGGUCAUGGGGCUCAGGAGCAUCACUCUCAAAAAUAGCAGUACAGGAAGAGGCAAUGGCCCUAAACAGCAUUUGCAGGCAGAUCCCAUGUUAAUCGUAAGGGUCAGGACUCUCUCACUUUUCUGUCUCUCUCUCUGUCUCUCCUCUAGGGCUGACCCCACAUCGGACACCACUGCAUCCAUGUCCAUCACAACACAGCUGCCUUUUCUUCUGCCUGCUUAUGGGAAAGUCCCCUCCUCUCCUCCGUUUCCUUCUCUUCCUGCCCUAUCACACUGUGCACUUCUCCCUUUCCUUAAAGAACCACCAUCAACUUUAGGAGGAGGGAAAGGGGUGGCUCUGGGAGGAAAAGCCAGAAUCCCCUCUAGCCAGCAGAGAGAGAGGAAUGGCUGCAUGUUUUCUCCCCCAAUCCAAGGCACUAGGUUUUGGCUAGGUUGCAGGUUCCAAGCUGCUCUCCUGCUGUGUCGGUGAGUUCUGGUUAACCUGCAACCUCCUGAUGUGGCCACUGCAGUUCAUCGAGUCUUCAGGGACUCCCCAUGGCCUGGAGUACUUUGCCUUGCUUACACGGGAGAGGAGAAUGGAUUUAUAGAGAACAUCAUCUAAAUCCAACUUGACCAUUGUGUGGCCACACUUGCUAGAUUGCUAUAGUCUAAAUCUAGCAUUGUAGAAAGACGGGGGAGCUUGGAGCUGCACAAACCCAGGUCUGGAACGGGCUCCUUACCUUGGAAGGUGAAUGAUCCUGGUAGGACUCUUAGCCUCCCUGGGCCUCAGUUUCUUUAUCUGUUUCAUGGGAAUGAGGAUCUCGGCUGGUUGGUUGGGUGAUGCGGGGGCUGUGUGAAAACAGCUUGUCAAUACAAGCUGAAAUAGAAAUAUUUCUCCACAGAGUAUGAAGAUCAAAUGAGAGAAUACAUUUAAAUUAAAUGGAAAAUUAAAAUGGCAAAAAAGGCAAAGCUGUAUUGAAAGUUCCGAGCUUCUCUAUAAGGAGCUUUUUGACUAUGUAAGAAUCCUGUACUCGUUCCCCCUAAAUAUAAAAAAAAAAUGUUGAAGGAGGCAGAAGGGAGAGUGAUGCACGAUGGGCGAGGACUUCACCUGCUGUUGCUGGCUUUGAGGAUGGAGGAAGGAGGCCACAAACCUAGAAGCUGGAGCCCCUAGAAGCUAGAAAAGGCAGGGACCCGAUUCAUCCCUUGAGCCUCCAGAAGGGACAUAGCCCUGCCAGCACCUUGACUUUAGCCCAGUGAGAUCCUCUUAGGACUUUUGGCAACCAGAACUAUAAGACAGAAAUGGAAGCCACUGAGUCUGUAGCUGUUUGUUGCAGCAGCAAUAGAAAACUAAUGCAGAGCCCAAGAAAUCACUGGUGAUGAGAUGGGGAAGUGGGCUCAGGAGGUCUGGAUCUGUGAUGAGAUGGGGAAAGUGGGCUCAGGAGGUCUGGAUCUGUGAUGAGAUGGGGGAAGUGGGCUCAGGAGGUCUGGAUCUGAGUUGGGGAUCUGGAGUGGAAGGGGAAUUCAUUUGUUCAUUGUCUAUCCUUUUGCAUUAAUUGAAUUUUUUUCUAUACAUACAUGUGAAUUUUCACAAUAAAAGUUUUUUCCAAAAUAAAAUAAAAGAAACAAAAGGGGCUUUUUGCAACCCAAUUCCUAUCUAUGUCUGAGUCCACUUGUAUUGAAUGAGUCUUUCUGCUAACGUCCUUAUAUUUGGGUGACUAUCUGAAUGUCAGUGACCAAUCAGAGCAGAGGCAGACCUUGGAGUGGGCAGGGCAUCCUGAGGGCCCUGAUUCCUGCCAUAAGGCAUAACCCUUUAGGUGCCAGACCAUGGGGAGGUCCAGGGGUUGCAGGGGAGGGCUGUGCAUCUGCAAUGGCUCUCAGGGGGCUCCCGGUGGUGGCAAUUGGUGAAUCUGCAUGGUGGUGUUUCAAUAUUGUCACAACCCUGCUGUCUCUCAUGCUCUCAAAAAGCAUUUCUCUUACCUGUGACAGACUUCCUAUACCUAACAGCUUGCAAAAAUGUUCCAGAUUAAUGAGAAUAAUCUCUCGGAGCCAUACCUCCCUGCUUGGGGUCUCAGUUUCCCCAAAUGUCUCCAGACAAGUUAGGCUAGAAGGCCCCUGAGUCUCAGCCCCUCUAUAGCCCUCCUGUCACCCAGACCUGAUCUGGGUCUUGCACCCUGGGUGCAGCAUGACAGGGGUGGGCAGGGGCUGGCUCUGGGCCAGAGGACCCUUUCUGAUGGACUUCAGCUGUUGGCCUUCCAGGGGAGACUGAUCAACCUCACAAGAGUCAUAUGGUGAGUAGCGGUGGGCAAAUCCAUCCCCCUCAUCUUAGAUUUAUGGGGAGACAGAGACAAAGAGGAGACACUCCAGGAAGACCUGCAGGUGGGAGUACCAGGUUGAAACCAAGGACACCUUCCUGGAGGAGCUGCCGUUUGAGCCAGCUCUGAGAACAGGUGGAGACAGGACUGGAGAGGAGGAGGUUGUGCCCUAUGAGCAAAGACUGGCCACCACCCCAUCUAACACCCCCACAGGGCCCCUGUGGCAUCCCUGUCCAGUCCCUGUCACCACCCAGUUUUUCCCUCUGGACCCAGGAAUUCAAAGUAAGCAAGGAGGUCCGCUGCUCCAGUUGGCUGCAAAUAAUUACAACCUUGAGCCCAAGCAGCACUUUGGGUCCUGGUUUGGGACCAUGAAGCGGCUCGGUGAGACUGAGAGGUAAGGCCAGGGCAGGAAUUGGGAUAGUAGGAUUGAACUCUCCCUGGGGGCCAGCCUCAGAAAGCCUGUGGCCAUGGCCUCUUGGCCAACAUCAGAUCCUGUGGUCUGGCAAUGCCUGGGGUACCCAGACCUCACUCUGGACAGGCCCUGGGAGGGGGCCCUGGUGAGAUUCCUGGCAGCCUCACAGCCACUCUUCUGUCCAUAGCUACAACCUGUCAUGCCAGCUGGAGGCUCCAUCCCAGUUGGCUGGGAGCAUAAAGUCCAGGAAGAUAGACAUCACCCACCACAGGGGCCAGUCAGGGCCUGAACCAGGGCGGGCAGAGGUUGGCUGCCUUGGGAUAUGGGUGGGCUCAGGGAGUCAGACAGCAAGGGACUAGCCUCCCAUCCUACUGCUGAGCAGCCCUGUGACUGGGGAGAGUCACCUUACUUCUCUGGGCCUCAGUUUCCCCCUCUGUGGAGUGACACUAAAUGAUCUCUCUGGAGACGGGGAUCAAUAGGGUACUGGUGAUUGACCAGGCACUCAGCACAUGCCUGGAGCACACAGUGCAGGGCUGUGGUGGGGAGGUGGGCUGAGUUCCUAGGGAGUCACCCAUGUGUGCCUGCCGUUCUGACCAGCCACCAGGCCCUCAGGGCAGAGCCCACUACCAGCAGCAGCUCACACCCCAAGACCAGCUCAGAGGCGGCCCCUACCUCAGCAGCAGGGACAUCACAGACACUUUGAGCUGGCACUAGGGUGGCUUCUCCAGCUCCCACGGGGAGAGGGGUCCCAGCUGAGUCCCACUCACGUGGAGUCUCAUGCCCAUGAAAGUGCCAUUCACCACUGGCCAGGCUCAUGAGGCCGCAUGAGAGGGGGGUCACUGGGGAGGAGAUAUCGGGGGAACAGAGAGGGUGGUUGAAUUUUUGUAUAAUAGGCAGUGCAAGUGUUUACCGUUUGGCAGGGGAAAGGUUUGUUAUUAUUAGCAAUGCUACACUUCAAUAUUACACUAAAAUCCAGUUUCUCUAUAACCUGGGAGUUGCUCUUUUGUUCUUUCUUUUCCCAUCUUAAUUAAAAUGAGAUGCAGACUCUCACGGUCCACAGUCGAUUAAGAAAUCUUGCACGGCCAUCAGGUUAUGUCUUGGAGAGCAGAGUUUCAGUACCAUCAGCCUGGCAAGGAGCUGGGCCUGCUCCUCAGAGCUCCCGGGACUGCGAGAAUUGGCAUGUUCACAAGGCACCGUCACAGCCUCUGAAACACGCUGUCUUUAAAGAUGUUUGCAGGCUGGACGCGGUGGCUCACUCCUGUAAUCCCAGCACUUUGGGAGGCAGAAGCGGGUGGCUCACUUGAGGUCAGGAGUUCGAGACCAACAUGGCAAAACCCCAUCUCUACUAAAAAUACAAAAAAUUAGCCAGGUGUGGUGGCAGGUGCCUGUAAUUCCAGCUACUCAGGAGGCUGAGGUAGGAGAACUGCUUGAACCCAGGAGGUGGAGGUUGCAAUGAGCAGAGAUCACACCACUGCACUCCAGUCUGGGCAACAAGAGCAAAACUUCAUCUCAAAAAAAAAAAAAAAAAAAAAAAACACAAAACACAAAGACAUUUGCAAGGACCAUGUCCUCACCCAGAAUGGUGCCUGCCUUUCUACAGUUUUUCAGGAAAAGGAAACAUUUUCUGCUUCUCUCGCUGAGGUUUUUUUUAACCACCCAUUAGGAACCUAUAGAUUUCAGGAUCGAACACUGGGAUUCCCUCAGCACUAAAGGAGGACAAUUGCAAACAGAGCUGAAAGUGCAAUGUGGAAAGGUCAGGCUGAGGAAGGUUCUUAGCCAGUAGACCAAGGGCAGGAAGGACACUGCCUCCUCAGUCUCCCACUAGGGAACUUGUGAUUCUUGUCCCCUGACCUCAGAAUUCCUUGUCAUGUUUGUUUUGUCUCCAAGGGAAGGGUUUGAAUUACAGAAUUUAAGGCUAGAGUGGGCCUCGUGCAGUUAACAUUAACCCUCUCUCUCCUUCGCUGGCCAAGGUGAAGUCCGGAAACAUGUAGUUCUGACGUCCACUCUCUCGGGGGAUCACCAGUUCACCCAUCUCACCCGGCAAGCUGGGACCUAGUUUGGCGACAGGCAUCUUCCACCCACCUGGGAGGCAGGGUUCAACACUCUGCCUCUGACCUUGUUUCCUUCUUCUGCCACCUGCUUAGGCAGCCAGAAGGGGUUGUCCAGCCAGCACCUGGGCUUUGGCGCUCCUCAAGCAGGUGGAGGAAGUUUCAGGCACCUGGCUCCUCAGGUGUCUGCCAUCCAGGUGCUCUUCAGGCCUGCCCAGCAGAGCUCUCUUGAUCCAGCUAGAACUGGCCAGAACUGACUCACUCAGGAAUGUGUAGACUUUGGCAUCAGGGGCUGCUUUAAUUUGCACAAUUUCCAAAUACCUCUUUUUUCUUCUUUUUCUGAUGAGUCAUCUUCCUAGACUUUCAUUUUAAAGAGAUAGAUAGUUAUCAGGUUCCAGAGAAGACAUGGUAGAACAUUUAUAUCUCAAAGACACAGAGCUGAGACUUCAGUUUUAGAUACUAUAAUUUGCCUAAACCAAAAAGGAAGGUGUAGGUAAAGUUCUAGUCAAGACAGGAUGGCCAGGAAAAACACCUUAAACCAAGGGAUGGCUUGCUUUGCUGAUUUAAGCCAAUGGCUUCUUUAUCAUAAGACUUCCCAGUGAUUUAGUCCUCCCUCUCUUCCAGUGCACAGAGACAUACCCCUCCUUACAAAUAAAAAUGUUCUUUAUAGAUGUAAAUUUAUUUUACAAAAAUGUUUCAAAAUAACCAGAUGAAAAUCAUCCUUAUGCCAGAAAGACUUGUUUUUUUUUUCAUUACUAGAAAUGAAACAGUAAGUAUUUGUUGUAUUGACAUACUUAGGCUUAGACCUGUGUUUAACAAGAAAGCCUAAUAAUAGCACUGUGGUUAGACUGUAGCCUAUUUUUCCAAACCAUCAUUUUAUUAUUAAGGAAACGAAGGACCAAAUACCUUUCAUUCAUCUGAUAUGAUCCUUUAAAACACAUUCCACUAACAAGUCCCAUUUGGAACAGCUGAAAAUCUUUUAAUAAAACUUUUUAAAGAUGAGCUCAUGGCUUAGUGUAAAUUUCACAAGCUUAAUUAGGUCAAAUGGAAGGAACUCAGAUGAGUAGUUGCCCAAUCAGAGCCCAUUAUUUGUAAGUCAUCAGACCCCUCCAUGACCUUAAAACUCCACUCUGACCUGAUUAUUGCAAACCUAUAUACAAAAAAGUGAAAGGAUUAAUUUUCAUUCAUCAACCUCUCAAUCCCAGAUUUUCAAAGAAAAAACCUAUGUAAGGAAUACUUACCAAAACCAGACAGGAAAAUUAGAGCCUGCAUACUUUAGAGUCAAAUUUGUUCCACUACAGCCAGGUCGCAUACAAUUACAUCAUUUGGUUCUUCAUACACUCUAGAACUGACUAGGACAGAGUUUAGCAUAGAAGAACUGUAAGAAAUAGGUUCUGAAACAUAGAAAUUGCAAAGUUCAAAAGGCUAUGAAAAAAACUAAUGUAAAUGAGAGACUCCCCUCACUUUGUUUUAAAGAAAUAGACCCAUCAGAGAAAUGCAAAUCAAAACCACAAUGAGAUACCAUCUCACACCAGUUAGAAUGGUGAUCAUUAAAAAGUCAGGAAACAACAGGUGCUAGAGAGGAUGUGGAGAAAUAGGAACACUUUUACACUGUUGGUGGGACUGUAAACUAGUUCAACCAUUGUGGAAGACAGUGUGGCCAUUCCUCAGGGAUCUAGAACUAGAAAUACCAUUUGACCCAGCCAUCCCACUACUGGGUAUAUACCCAAAGGAUUAUAAAUCGUGCUGCUAUAAAGACACAUGCACACGUAUGUUUAUUGCGGCACUAUUCACAAUAGCAAAGACUUGGAACCAACCCAAAUGUCCAACAAUGAUAGACUGGAUGAAGAAAAUGUGGCACAUAUACACCAUAGAAUACUAUGCAUCCAUAAAAAAUGAUGAGUUCAUGUCCUUUGUAGGGACACGGAUGAAGUUGGAAACCAUCAUUCUCAGCAAACUAUGGCAAGGACAAAAAAACAAACACCGCAUGUUCUCACUCAUAGGUGGGAAUUGAACAAUGAGAACACUUGGACACAGGAAAGGGAAAAUCACACACCAGGGCCUGUUGUGGGGUGGGGGGAGGGGGGAGGGAUAGCAUUAGGAGAUAUGCCUAAUAUAAAUGAUGAGUUAAUGGGUGCAGCACACCAACAUGGCACAUGUAUACAUAUGCAACAAACCUGCACAUUGUGCAUGUGUACCCUAGAAUUUAAAGUAUAAUAAAAAAAAUAAAAAAAUAAAAAAAUAAAUAGAUGUUCUGUAAAAAUAUACACAAUUUUUACAGACAAAUACAUUUAUAAGUUGUUUUUAUCUUAAAAAUUGGGGAUAUUUCAUAUUUAUAACUAAUUAUUGAACCUUAAGUUUUCUUGGCCAUUUAUAGGCUAAUAAACUAAGAAUCAUGUAAACUAAGCCAAAGUAGAAUAGACAUAAAAGUCCUAACACUUCAACUUCCUAUCCUUCAAGAAGUAUACCUCGCAAAGCUCAUUUGAGAGAGGAAAAGCUUUCCUCCACCCUCUGUUUUACAGCGCUGAGGUUUCUCAUCACAUUUCUAUGACUUAUAGCUUAAAUCCAUGUUACAUGGUCACUGGCAUUGUUAGUGCUUCUCUUUUAAUACUGUAGGAAUUAAUCAAUUUGGUGGCGUAUUUAAUUAAUUCUAUCACUAGAGGAUUGUAAAAUUACAUAUAUGAAUACCUCACUUUAGAGACCACUUAAUUUUUUUUCCAAGGGGAUAUUUGACUAUAUUUCACUUGUGUCUUAUUUAAUGAUUUUAUAAUUUAAACCCUAAAUUAUAAAUCUAGAAUUUAGAGAGUAUAUUUCCCCACUGGAUUACAUUUUUGGAAUUAUUAUAUGUGCACAAAUAUUACAAAAUCACUGUAGACACCUGAAA
Long non-coding RNA from Homo sapiens (human), 8420 nucleotides. The record is from Ensembl. NCBI's taxonomy places the organism in Eukaryota, Metazoa, Chordata, Mammalia, Primates, Hominidae.